AGGAUCAUUACUGAAAAACUUCUUAGUUUUUUAACCCAUCCCAUUUGUUUAAUUUACCCUGUUGCUUCCACUGGAUGGAAGUUUCCAUACCUUGCGUGUGAGAAACUUUGGCUUGUGAAUAUUAACACACGCCAGCCAGUGAGAAGACCAUUUAUAAAAACCUGUUAAGAACCAAUUUGUCUGAAUAUUUUGCUCCAAUAAAAUAAAACUUUCAACAACGGAUCUCUAGGCUCUUGCAUCGAUGAAGAACGCAGUGAAAUGCGAUAAGUAAUGUGAAUUGCAGAAUCUCGUGAAUCAUCGAAUCUUUGAACGCACAUUGCGCCCUAUGGUAUUCCAUAGGGCAUGCCUGUCUGAGCGUCAGCUCCCCCAUACUCAAGCGUCCUUUUUAAUGAUGCUUGGAUUGCUUUGGAGAGGUAUCAUGUUAUCAAGAAGCCCUCCAGAAAUUUAUAGGCAGUAUGGUUUGCACCAGAACCAGACGUAAUAAUAAUAAAAUCGUCUGUUUUGGGUCUAAUCAUUGUACUUGCCUUUGAAUCACCCAUGUUGAUUUUUGGGUGACCUCAGAUCAGGUAGGGAUACCCGCUGAACUUAAGCAUAUCAAUAAGCGGAGGAAAAGAAACCAACAGGGAUUGCCCUAGUAACGGCGAGUGAAGCGGCAAAAGCUCAGAUUUGAAAUCUGGUGUCAUUUUGAUGCCCGAGUUGUAGUCUGCAGAGGUGUAUUCGGGUGUGGCUUUGGCUUAAGUUCCUUGGAACAGGACGUCAUAGAGGGUGAGAACCCCGUUAACGGCCUUUGCUCUAUGCUCAUGUGAAUCUCCUUCAACGAGUCGAGUUGUUUGGGAAUGCAGCUCUAAAUGGGUGGUAAAUUCCAUCUAAAGCUAAAUACUGGCAAGAGACCGAUAGCGCACAAGUAGAGUGAUCGAAAGAUGAAAAGAACUCUGAACAGAGAGUUAAAUAGUACGUGAAAUUGUUGAAAGGGAAGCACUUCCGACCAGACGCACUUGCAGCCGAUCAAUCCUCAUUCUUGAGGGUGCACUCGGCUGUUUGUGGGUCAGCAUCAGUCAUGGUGGUAGGAAAAAGACUGAGGGAAUGUGACUCCUCUCGGGGAGUGUUAUAGCCCUUGGUGCAAUGCUGUCUGCUGUGACUGAGGACCGC
This 1149-nucleotide ribosomal RNA is filed under the name uncultured Pezizaceae. Its description in RNAcentral is "eukaryotic LSU rRNA". The stretch from base 553 to 1149 matches the Rfam family "Eukaryotic large subunit ribosomal RNA", at positions 1 to 599 of the family's 3401-position model. Lineage: Eukaryota; Fungi; Ascomycota; Pezizomycetes; Pezizales; Pezizaceae. The record is from RNAcentral.